Long non-coding RNA from Chelonia mydas (Green sea turtle), 497 nucleotides. RefSeq lists it as uncharacterized. The transcript has 3 exons. The record is from RefSeq and is a predicted model, not a curated record. NCBI's taxonomy places the organism in Eukaryota, Metazoa, Chordata, Testudines, Cheloniidae.
GGAAACCCAGAGCCUUCCACGCCAGUGCAGCCAUCGCUACAGGGACAGAAGACACCGGCCCAGCAUGUGCCGUGGGGUGGGCAGCUCCUGGGCAGGAAGCUCUGUGCUUUCCUAGGCGUGGUGCUUUCAACAUCUUUCCUCCCCUGCGAAAGUAUCUGAACAGGGCUGCUGCCUCCCUGCUCCCAUCUCAGCGCCACGCAGGGUUUUAAGCUACAGGUGCUACCAACAGAAACCAACGCAGAGGGCAUGGCAUGCACAGAGGAAAGGCUCACUUUCAAUGAUGGCUCUCUGUAGCGUCUGGAUCUGGUUCUGGAAAAUGGACUGCAAAAGCUGAGGGAGAACACCUUCAAAAGAGAGAGAUCUGCUGAUAGUCAUCACCACUUCCUGACUUAACGGCAAGCCCUGCAAUGGAGACCCAUUCCACUUCUUCACUAGGCAACAGACAUCCCACAUCACCAACCCUUCUGGCCGACGCAUCCCCCUUUUUGCAAGUCAAC